GACGAACGCUGGCGGCGUGCUUAACACAUGCAAGUCGAACGGAAAGGCCCUGCUUUUGUGGGGUGCUCGAGUGGCGAACGGGUGAGUAACACGUGAGUAACCUGCCCUUGACUUUGGGAUAACUUCAGGAAACUGGGGCUAAUACCGGAUAGGAGCUCCUGCUGCAUGGUGGGGGUUGGAAAGUUUCGGCGGUUGGGGGUGGACUCGCGGCUUAUCAGCUUGUUGGUGGGGUAGUGGCUUACCAAGGCUUUGACGGGUAGCCGGCCUGAGAGGGUGACCGGCGACAUUGGGACUGAGAUACGGCCCAGACUCCUACGGGAGGCAGCAGGGGGGAAUAUUGCACAAUGGGCGGAAGCCUGAUGCAGCAACGCCGCGUGCGGGAUGACGGCCUUCGGGUUGUAAACCGCUUUCGCCUGUGACGAAGCGUGAGUGACGGUAAUGGGUAAAGAAGCACCGGCUAACUACGUG
Molecule: ribosomal RNA, 468 nt
Filed under: uncultured bacterium
Lineage: Bacteria
Description: partial 16S ribosomal RNA
Rfam family: Bacterial small subunit ribosomal RNA
Source: RNAcentral